Long non-coding RNA from Pezoporus occidentalis (night parrot), 1581 nucleotides. RefSeq lists it as uncharacterized. The record is from RefSeq and is a predicted model, not a curated record. The transcript has 2 exons. Lineage: Eukaryota; Metazoa; Chordata; Aves; Psittaciformes; Psittacidae.
GCUUGGAGCAACCUGAUCUAGUGGAAGAUGUCCCUGUCCAAUGGCCAUGGGUUGGAACCGGAUGAUCUUUAAGGUCCCUUCCAACCCUAACCAUUCUGUGAUUCUGUAGCAGUCAUGUGGGCCAGGGGGCUGUGGAAAUAACAUUUCUAGCUGUUGGCUAGUGCUAAACGAUGUGAAAAUACAUGGUGAGUUAGGACAGGCUGUGUUUGGCCAUCCACUGGAUCUUUCCUACUGCCUGCCAGUCCUGUACCAAAUUAAACGCAGAAGCCCAAAAUACUGUGCAAGAAGAGAUUAUAGGCAAAACCAACAGAAGCUCUGAAUGUGGCUCAGUUACAAGGUGGUGAGGCUGUGUAACAGCCUAACACAUGGAGACUUCAGCAUUCCCAGUGAUCAGAAGCCAUUUGUUGCAGUUUGUUUUCCCCAUAUAGACACUAUCAAAGUCGCAAAGAUAUUUUAGGAGAAAUGCUGUGUGAAGCUGAUUUCUCCUGAAAUAUGACUAUCAUCCUGCUAUUUCUGGCAGCGCACUCUGUGUCUAUAGCAACAGGGACAGAGGCAACAGACCAAGAGGGUAAUGCUUGUGGUUUUAUGGGGUUAAACUUGUGGGCUCCACAUGACGUUAUCCAACAGUCCCAACUGACUUUAGUUGCCAAGCCCUCCUGUAGCUCAUCCUGAUUUGCUUUGUGUAGAUGAUACAGGCCAAGAAAUCUACAGGAAAUAAACUUUUUGUGAAGCAUCAAUGAAUUACUUGGACUAAACAGGCAGGGUGAUGAACAGCCUGUGGAAGCAGCAGUACCCUCGAGCAAAGGCAGUUAACGCUGGUUGCUGCUUUCAGCGCUGAAAGGUGCGAGGUUCAGCAGCACACCUUGGCUCAUCCCAUUGCUUACACAUGUUUAUUAGGGCUGGCUCCUCCAGUAUAAUUUUCUUGAUACCUAUGCAAGAUGUGUGGCCUGGGAUUCAAAGCGCAGAGGGAUUUUUAGCGGGUUUUAUUCCAAACCAGCUGCCUGUGUUUAUAACCAAUGCAAGUAACAGUUACUCAGCGGCAGAAGAGUUUUGCAGGCACUAAUGAUGUGAGCAAAUGUGACAGGAAGCUCAAGAACAAAUUAACAACAGUUAAUUUGAAGAGAGUUGGGGCCGGCAGGAUGCCAGAGUCUGUGUAGGUGGUUCAGCUGGAAAGAUGGGAUUCCUCAACUUUGACACCGGGGAAUUGCUGAGGUCAUGCAGGGGAGGGAAGGCUUUAAAACAAAACAUCCUUUUGGGCAAUCCAAGUCUUAAGCUGCUUCUGGGUAUGUGGUUUUCAGAAGAGUCUUUGCGACUGCAUAAACAAUGACUGUGGAUUUCUGGCAUUUGUGCAGCUGUGUAUUUCAUACCUUACAAUCUGCAGAUGGAAGUGUAGGGAUUUAAUUUGUUUAUUAACUCAUUGGCUGGGCUAGCUGUUGGGUAGAAUCUGGUAAUCUGGUAAUCACACGUGUAUUUCCAUAUGAAAGGAGAGGUGAAAACUCACUGAAAUGAUUCUGCUGAACUGAUACAUUGCCUUUGUACCUGGAUUUACACACUGUUGAAAAAGAGAUUGUCUGUGUUUAU